CAGACUGGUGCUCCGACUCGUGCGUGGAGGUGGGCUCCAGCACCUUCUGCAGGGUCCCUGGGCACACGAAGACU
This is a non-coding RNA of Eptesicus fuscus (big brown bat), 74 nucleotides long. The record is from RefSeq and is marked provisional. Lineage: Eukaryota; Metazoa; Chordata; Mammalia; Chiroptera; Vespertilionidae.